Neopsephotus bourkii (Bourke's parrot) is the source of this 2131-nucleotide long non-coding RNA. RefSeq lists it as uncharacterized. NCBI's taxonomy places the organism in Eukaryota, Metazoa, Chordata, Aves, Psittaciformes, Psittacidae. The transcript has 3 exons. The record is from RefSeq and is a predicted model, not a curated record.
CUACUUGACAUAAAGCCUGUUUAGACCAUUGUGGUGACUGGGGUGUGUAUUUGUGCAUUGCUAGCUCUCUUUGCUAGCAGGGAGGUUCACAGCAAGACUCACUGACUGAACAUGGUCCAAGAGUUUGCCUGGCAAAUCCUGUAUUUCUUAUCUGAUUAAUUAAAUGGUUCAGUAAAGGAUGGAGAAGACCUUCUCAAACUGCUAAGAAAUGCUUCCUUGAAAGGGCUUUUGAAUAACCUGCAUCUGUGAGGGGUUGACAAGACACAGCCAUGUGGUGCAGAAUGGAACCCGGUAUUUUGGGGGAGGGAAAUUUGCUCAGACCAGGGUUAGUUCCCUGUCAGAUGGGAAUGAACAAACAUCAUUCUCACCACUACCUCCAGCCCAGAACCACAGCAACCUGAAAACUUGUUACUUCCUGAGCCUAUGCACUCUUUUGCUGGCAGCCAUACAUGAAAGCAGUUGGCCUAUCUAAAUUAAGUGCCGCACAUAAUGGAAUAUCAAUCACUGCUGUUAACUCCAAAGUGAUAAUGUAGUUAGGGAGAACAAAUUGCACUGAGGAAAUACGGGUGUUUUUUUUUUAGUCUCAAAGCGAUCUCUUAGUGUAGCAACCUCUGGAGCUAAUAUUAGGUCUGGGAAUUUCACAGGCACUAAUAGGAUUAGGCACAUGACUUCCUUUUCAGCCUAAUGGGAGUCAAGUGUUUAAUUCCCUUGAGCUUCUCUGAGAUUUCAGCACAGAUUCAGAAGCGGCACCCAAACCAUCAGUACACCCAGAUCUCCUCUGACUGUCCCCCAGGCAAGGAUAGAAUUGCUAAUCCACCAUCAGAAGGGUAGAUGGCCUUUCCAAGGAAAAGCACUCGGUGUGCAACCUGUGACAAAACAGUUCAUGCUCCAACUCAAAAUGUAAAACAAAAUAUCAUAACUUCAUAUAGUACCUUUUCAAAAUAUGAAAUAAUAGAAUUGUGCUCUUUCACUCACAAGAGGAAACCUGUUCUUAUUUACCAACAACUCAUUUGGGGCAUGGGAUGAGGGAUCUCAAGUCUUACUCAGCUUCAGUUUGGUGUUUAUGGCAAGGUUCAUGGUGCCUUUCCAUCUUCAGGAACAGCUGAAAAAUACUAAUGGGAGUGUUAAAAGUAGUGAAGACCUGCUCGCAGUGCUGCUAGAGGGCUCUGGAUGAUCAAAUCCUGAAAUAGAAACAUGUGACAGAAAAAGCCUGUGCUGCCUGGAUGUCUUUAUGAUCUCAAAACAUACAGCUUAUGAUGGCUUUCUGAGCCUCCUCUUCAGACUUCAUUAUUCCUGUAGUAUUUCCAUUUGCCACCCAGGGACGACCUGCACGAGGUAAGCUUGCAAGGGAAUCUCAUUUCUAAUUAAUACAGUAUUUUACUUAAUGACUAAUAGCUUUUGACAUGGUAAUUUUGAAAUGGGCUUUCCCUUGAUGAAUUCAGAGAAGAGUAUUUAAAUAAUGGUUCCCUCCUCUCCCCAUCAAUUUUUGAUUAAACCUUGGACAUGUGCGCUCUUCCCCAGGCUGGUACAAUGGACAAGCAGAGAUCUUUAUUGCCUAAAAAAUCAAAUUAUAAAUGUUAUGGUGUAGUCCUUACCAAUUUCACUCACACUCUUCAGAAGCUAGUCCUAAGCAGGAGCAUAAAUGAAGAGAAGGCACAGCCCAGAACUACUCUGUUACAAUAUGUCUGUAAACCUAGCAAAACCAUAAUUAGCUGGUUAAGUUUAUUUUAUUAAUGUUUCCCACAAUGUUCUCUAAAGGGACUUCUAGAAAUGACUACGCAUGUGUACUUCUAAAGCGUAUGAAGUGAAAAUGAAUAGAGUCAUGAAUAUAUGCUGAAGGAAAGGGUUGUAUUUUGCCUGGUCUGUACAGCCUCCAGCUAAGGGUAUACAAGUGCAUGAACUGCAGUGUGUGGCUCCUAAAGCAACUUAAGUAACGGUGAUUUUCCUCCUGAGCUAUGAACUCAGCUGGCUGUGAUAUGGGUUAAAUAAAUCCUGAUCUAUCUAUGCACUUGUGACAGGUCAGAACAGGUUGCAUAUUUCUAGCGAUGCAGUCACCUUCCUGGUGGGUGCUAUCAAAGCCCCUCUACUUGAGUUGAUUGUGGAAACAUCUCAUGACUGUGUCUUACCUCCC